Molecule: ribosomal RNA, 384 nt
Filed under: uncultured bacterium
Lineage: Bacteria
Description: bacterial SSU rRNA
Rfam family: Bacterial small subunit ribosomal RNA
Source: RNAcentral
AUUGAACGCUGGCGGUAGGCCUAACACAUGCAAGUCGAACGCGAAAGUCCUUCGGGAUGAGUAGAGUGGCGGACGGGUGAGUAACGCGUAGGAAUCUAUCCUGUAGUGGGGAUAACGUUUCGAAAGGAACGCUAAUACCGCAUACGCCCCACGGGGGAAAGGCGGGGGAGUCUUCGGACCUCGUGCUAUAGGAGGAGCCUGCGUCGGAUUAGCUAGUUGGUGAGGUAAAGGCUCACCAAGGCGACGAUCCGUAGCUGGUCUGAGAGGAUGAUCAGCCACACCGGAACUGAGACACGGUCCGGACUCCUACGGGAGGCAGCAGUGGGGAAUAUUGCGCAAUGGGCGAAAGCCUGACGCAGCCAUACCGCGUGUGUGAAGAAGGCC